Molecule: transfer RNA, 65 nt
Filed under: Ictidomys tridecemlineatus (thirteen-lined ground squirrel)
Lineage: Eukaryota; Metazoa; Chordata; Mammalia; Rodentia; Sciuridae
Description: Spermophilus tridecemlineatus (thirteen-lined ground squirrel) tRNA
Rfam family: tRNA
About the family: Transfer RNA (tRNA) molecules are approximately 80 nucleotides in length.
Source: Rfam by way of RNAcentral
AGUAUAGCUCAAUGGUAGAGCACUUGCCUAGCAUUUGCAAUACCCUGGGUUCAAUCCUCAGUACU